RNAcentral lists this long non-coding RNA (250 nucleotides) under Hordeum vulgare. RNAcentral's name for it is "long non-coding RNA (HVUL_LNC006182)". The record is from RNAcentral. Lineage: Eukaryota; Viridiplantae; Streptophyta; Magnoliopsida; Poales; Poaceae.
UUUAAAUCGGAUUUUAGUUUUUCCAUCUCAGCUAAGACCAGUUGAUACUUCUCCUCUGAUUUGGCCUGGGCAUCCUGCUGAUCAGAUAAGCUCUUCUUCAAGUCGCCAAGCGCUGAUUCAGUCUGGAUAAGAGAUUCCUGUUGAAACAUAUGGUUAAGGGGCAAGUCUCAGAACUAUUGCAAGCAACAUCCCUGACACUUGGGGGCUAAUGUAUAAUUUUUUUAGACAAAAUUAUACUGCAUCAAGACCC